RNAcentral lists this ribosomal RNA (253 nucleotides) under uncultured bacterium. Its description in RNAcentral is "partial 16S ribosomal RNA". It matches the Rfam family "Bacterial small subunit ribosomal RNA", at positions 524 to 776 of the family's 1533-position model. The record is from RNAcentral.
UACGUAGGGUGCAAGCGUUGUCCGGAAUUAUUGGGCGUAAAGAGCUCGUAGGCGGUCUGUCGCGUCUGCUGUGAAAACUCGGGGCUUAACCCCGGGCCUGCAGUGGGUACGGGCAGACUAGGGUGCGGUAGGGGAGACUGGAAUUCCUGGUGUAGCGGUGAAAUGCGCAGAUAUCAGGAGGAACACCGGUGGCGAAGGCGGGUCUCUGGGCCGUAACUGACGCUGAGGAGCGAAAGCAUGGGGAGCGAACAGG